AGUGAACGCUGGCGGUAGGCCUAACACAUGCAAGUCGAACGGCAGCACAGUAAGAGCUUGCUCUUACGGGUGGCGAGUGGCGGACGGGUGAGGGAUACAUCGGAAUCUACUUUUUCGUGGGGGAUAACGUAGGGAAACUUACGCUAAUACCGCAUACGACCUACGGGUGAAAGCAGGGGAUCUUCGGACCUUGCGCGAUUGAAUGAGCCGAUGUCGGAUUGGCUAGUUGGCGGGGUAAAGGCCCACCAAGGCGACGAUCCGUAGCUGGUCUGAGAGGAUGAUCGGCCACACUGGAACUGAGACACGGUCCAGACUCCUACGGGAGGCAGCAGUGGGGAAUAUUGGACAAUGGGCGCAAGCCUGAUCCAGCCAUACCGCGUGAGUGAAGAAGGCCUUCGGGUUGUAAAGCCCUUUUGUUGGGAAAGAAAAGCAGCAGGUUAAUACCCCGCUGUUCUGACGGUACCCAAAGAAUAAGCACCGGCUAACUUCGUG
RNAcentral lists this ribosomal RNA (492 nucleotides) under uncultured bacterium. RNAcentral's name for it is "partial 16S ribosomal RNA". It matches the Rfam family "Bacterial small subunit ribosomal RNA", at positions 29 to 507 of the family's 1533-position model. The record is from RNAcentral.